UGGCGCGUCUUUUACUUACCCUAACUGAUCCAUUUCCUAUUAGCCAGACACUUGUCAUCUUGGAACCCUUGGUAUAGAGUGUACAAUCUGGUGUCUUCAACAUACUAUUCGCGGAGCGUUCCAGAUCGCUUUGAAUAGCAGGAGAAAGGUUUCCCAGCGAAGGAUGGAUACUUAGGACAUCUCCUGGCUUCGGGAUCCUUACUGAAGGAGGACUUCUCGAAAGCUUUUCAAGGUCGUUCUAGUUUGGAGUUGAAAACCAUUUAUACACAAAACAAUUACUCAAUCAGUAUUACACAAAAAAAAUCCAACGAAGUAAAAUUGAAACAUGAAGUAAGUUUACCUGAACAAAAUCAUGUACAGGAAGAAGAACUUUCUCAGGGAGAAAGGUUUCCCAGCGAAGGAUGGAUACUUAGGACAUCUCCUGGCUUCGGGAUCCUUACUGAAGGAGGACUUCUCAAAAGCUUUUCAAGGUCGUUCUAGUUUGGAGUUGAAAACCAUUUAUACACAAAACAAUUACUCAAUCAGUAUUACACAAAAACAAUGCAACGCAGUAAAAUUGACACAUGAAGUAAAGUUACCUGG
Molecule: long non-coding RNA, 582 nt
Filed under: Capsicum annuum
Lineage: Eukaryota; Viridiplantae; Streptophyta; Magnoliopsida; Solanales; Solanaceae
Description: long non-coding RNA (CANN_LNC007527)
Source: RNAcentral